CGCACGGGUGAGUAACACGUAUCCAACCUGCCGUCUACUCUGGCCAGCCUUCUGAAAGGAAGAUUAAUCCAGGAUGGCAUCAUGAGUUCACAUGUCCGCAUGAUUAAAGGUAUUUUCCGGUAGACGAUGGGGAUGCGUUCCAUUAGAUAGUAGGCGGGGUAACGGCCCACCUAGUCAACGAUGGAUAGGGGUUCUGAGAGGAAGGUCCCCCACAUUGGAACUGAGACACGGUCCAA
RNAcentral lists this ribosomal RNA (236 nucleotides) under uncultured bacterium. RNAcentral describes it as "partial 16S ribosomal RNA". It matches the Rfam family "Bacterial small subunit ribosomal RNA", at positions 99 to 334 of the family's 1533-position model. The record is from RNAcentral.